Molecule: small nucleolar RNA, 87 nt
Organism: Neltuma alba
Lineage: Eukaryota; Viridiplantae; Streptophyta; Magnoliopsida; Fabales; Fabaceae
Product: small nucleolar RNA Z161/Z228
Exons: 1
Source: RefSeq, a predicted model, not a curated record
GAACCGUAUGAUGAAUCUGAAUUUUCAUUCUCACAACGAUCAUCUGAGAUUCCAUUUGAUGGAAUUAUCCAUUAAUUCUGAUGGAAC